Molecule: ribosomal RNA, 490 nt
Filed under: uncultured bacterium
Lineage: Bacteria
Description: partial 16S ribosomal RNA
Rfam family: Bacterial small subunit ribosomal RNA
Source: RNAcentral
AUUGAACGCUGGCGGCAGGCCUAACACAUGCAAGUCGAACGGUAACAGGAAGAAGCUUGCUUCUUUGCUGACGAGUGGCGGACGGGUGAGACAUGUCUGGGAAACUGCCUGAUGGAGGGGGAUAACUACUGGAAACGGUAGCUAAUACCGCAUAACGUCGCAAGACCAAAGAGGGGGACCUUCGGGCCUCUUGCCAUCGGAUGUGCCCAGACGGGGUUAGCGAGUAGGUAGGGUAACGGGUUACCUAGUCGACGAUCCCUAGCUGGUCUGAGAGGGUGACCGGCCACACUGGAACUGAGACACGGUCCAGACUCCUACGGGAGGCAGCAGUUGGGAAUCUUUCGAAAUGGGCGGAAGCCUGACGGAGCCACGCCGCGUGGGUGAAGAAGGGCUUCGGGUUGGAAAAGUCUUUUAUGAGGGAAGAAAGGAGGUAAAAUUAACCCCUCACCUCUUGACGGUACCCAGCCAAAAAGCACCGGCUAACUCCGUG